UCAGAGCAGGUGACAUUGUCACAAUCGUGGUGCUGCCCUGCCUUCCCCAGCCAAGUUACUGCUUGGGAACCCUGCCUGUUCCAUGUCAAAUGUGUUCAUCAUCAUCCUGUGACCCUGCAGCAAACCUGAGCAGAGCGAAUCUUCAGGGUUCUGAAAUGGAGACAAAUGUUUUGAAUUCCCUGUCUUUAUUUUUGUGGCUGUUCCUCCGUUGGGACAAAUGAAUUAACAGCACUAUAAGUGUUAGACUGAGCAAUUGGCGUUUGUUGUUACCUGUGCCCUGUCUGUAAUAUCACAUUUACUUCCAUUAAGUAAGUUCAUUUACUUCCAGUAAGUCCAUUCCAUAACUCCAUUCUCACAUGGAAUGAAAUAAACACUAGAUUAGCUACAAAUGGUGCAAAAAGGGAUUUUGGCAGAUUUCUCCUGGCUGUGCUGCGACCCUGAAGAAGAUUGCUGCUGCCACUUUCCUUCCUUUCUCCUGAAGGUUGCCAUUCCUUGGACAUCCCUGUGUCUGCUGCUCUCCCUCACAGGCAAAUAGAUCUGCUGGAACUCUCCAAAAAGGGCAGCCAACACCCAAGGGAGGUAAGAUCACCCUUCUGAGGGAGCAGGAAUAAAAGGAAAUGCCUUCAAGCAGUGAAAUUGCUUGUUCAGUGAACACAGUGGAGCCCAGAUACUCAUCCCUGAUCACAGCUGUCAAACUCAUUGCCCUGUGAAGAGUGCCAUGGAUGUGCAAAAUACUGUCACUAUUUUAUAGCUUGUCUUCCCCUUUAUGACUUUUUAUACAUUGGUUUCAUGACUGGCUGCAGAAUGUGAAUAAUUUGUGGCAAGAUGCUAGUUCACAGUCUGUCUGAAAAAGUCCACAGCUGAAACUGAACAUCUCGGAGUGAAGAGAGCAAAAAGUUGUUUCCACAGUGGAAGGUUCUCACCAAAGAAAGGGAGAACCUCUGAAUCACCCUGUGUGCCCUGAACUGGGGCUGUGGUUUCAGAGAGACACACAGGGAGCACCAACACUUGCCAAGUUAGCCCCACUGUUGGCCUAUGAGCCACAUCCUUGUCAUAUCUAACCUUUUAACUUUUCCAAACAUGUUUCCUUAAAGGUUGAGAGGCAUUUAACCAAAAUUGCUACAAAUUACCCAAAUGAAACACCUUGUGCUGCAUUUUAAACGUACCAUUUACUUGUGGAACCAGAUCACAGAGUAAAACAGUGUUUGAGCAAGACAGAGAACUAUUACAGCUUAAUUAAAUGAAGGGCUUUUUUCAGCAUGGAGCUCCUGGCCAGCACUGCCAUCCCACAGCCCAGAAGGUGACAGUGUGCUUGGUGGCUGUGUUGAUCUGCCAGAACACCAGGAGGAAAGCAGCAGGGUAAAGGCUGGGACAUUUGUGUUCUCGUUGCACGAGCUUCUCCUGUGAUUUGCAACUUACCACCAGUGUGGUGCCAGAUGAGCUCUUCCAGCUGCAGCUUUUUAACCAUCACAGGUUGUAGCUGCUGGUUCUUCUGGACAUCCAGUGGUGGAAAUGAUCUGAGGGAGGAGGUCAGAGCCUUGCCAGAUCUGCUUGUGUCCCUCCAGAUGUACCUGCUUCCCAUCCUGCUUCUCUUUUCAGAGCAAGGUGUUGAAGAGCCAAGUGUGGUAUCUCUUUAACCCUGAUCAGCUGUAAAAAUUCUUGAGUGUGCCCUACAACAGGUGUCACAAAAAUAGUCACAAAAACCCCCCAGUGAAUAGGAAACUAUAAAUAAGUGCAGUGCCAUGAAUCUGUGGGGCAGCUUUGGAAAAAGAGCACCAAAGAAGAAGAUGAAGAGCUUCUUCAUCUCCCUUUCAGAGCUCAAUUUACAGCUGAAAGCAAUGAAGUGUUAUUUCAACAAGGUUGGGGCUUUUUUGGGGUUUUUUUUCCUGGCAAAAUGAAAGUUUAGGCAUUGAUUCCUAUUGAAUUUAGGAAAAUCCUGCUUUGAUUUCAAAGGGCUGCAGAAAAAUGACUGCCCAGAUUUGUUCAUAGGAGUGUGCUGUCAGUCACUCCUGCUCCAGGGUGGAACACUGAGCGUGGGCAUAAAACUUAAAUCAAAGUUUCCACAGGUGACUGACAUAUCCCCAAGUCCUGAACACCUGUGGGAGCCCACCUUGCACAAUGUGCUGGUGCCACUUGUCACACAGUUGUGCUUCAUUGCAGAAUUGAUACUUAGCACCCGGCAAAACCACAAAUCUUCGGGUCACAGGCCUUUUCUUCCUGCAUUGAUAGGCUCAAGUCCUUGCUGCUUCUGUACUUGCGAUAUGAAAGUUUGAAAGAAAACAAGAUUCUCAGUGGGGGGAUUGUGAAAGAAGUAGUGCAUUGUGGUUUUUUUCUCUGUGAGAGCUGUGGAGAAAACUGAAAAUCUGUUCCUGUGGGAGAGGGGAGAUUUAAAAGUCACCCUGAAAGUGAAGUAGGAUUCCUUAGAAUUAAGGAUGAAACAAUUUCCAGCAGUGUUUUGAGCACUAACCUAACACAUAGUUGAAAUGAAAUUGUUUUCCCCAAAGCUAAGUGCUAGAUGUUUCCAUACCAUCUGCAUUAUAAAUUCAAGCUCCAAAAACUGAACCACAGUUAUCAGUAAUAUUAUGAUGUGUGAGAAAUACAUUGGCUGUGAUACCUCUUGCAUUUAGGUAAGCUUUUUCCCUCAAAAUGUUUCUUUUGGAACUGUAUUAUGUCAGUCUAUGUGUGUAGCUUCUUUAGGUGAUGGAAAAGGCUAGAAGGUCUCCCUGGAGCCUUCUCCAAGCUGAACAUCCCCAGCUCUCUCAUCCUGUCUCCACAGCAGAGAUGCUCAAGCCCUCUGAGCAUCUUCAUGGCCUCCUCUGGACUCACUCCAGCAGAUCCACAUCCUUCCUAUGCUGGGGACAUAGCCAGCUGCUGUGCUUAAAAAAAAUACAACAAAUCACUCAGCUUCACCCCACUAAUGCUCCCUCUCUUGCCUUGCACUCCCCAUGCUGCUGCAGCACCAAGAAACUGCAUUUCUGCCUGGACAAAUGAGUCACUCAGUCUGGGCAAAGUGGUGUCCCACCACUGAAACUGAGACUUCCCAGCAGCUUGCAAGAUUUGGCUCUUUUGCCCACUUCUUAGAGGCCAAUAGAAGUUUUGGUGCUGCAGUUUCAUGCAAGUCCAGGUCAGGGCACCGUGGGCUCAGCUUUUGUGGGUUUAUCUCAGGCAGCACCUGGGCUCACCUUCAGGAGCAACAUCUGUGAGGUCCCUGGGCCCCAUAGCUCAUGCCAGUGGUGCUCGUGAUGUAGAGACCUCAGAACCCCUUGGGAAGGCACCUUUUUCACCUGCAUUGUGUGUACUGUUCAAAUUUGAGUGUGCACCAGCAGUUUCUUCCCACCUGAGCUCCAUCCCUGCUCCAUGGAGAAGGAUAACUGGGAAGCUGAUGUGAAAUCAGCACCCUGCUAAUAGAGUUGUAUCCUGCAAAACAGCAUCAGAUGCCAUCAGAUUUAAAUAAAGUCUGCAUUUUGGGGCCACCUGUGAAUGGCC
Long non-coding RNA from Taeniopygia guttata (zebra finch), 3486 nucleotides. Lineage: Eukaryota; Metazoa; Chordata; Aves; Passeriformes; Estrildidae. The record is from Ensembl.